This 565-nucleotide long non-coding RNA is filed under the name Calidris pugnax (ruff). RNAcentral's name for it is "lncRNA (ENSCPUG00000003868.1)". Lineage: Eukaryota; Metazoa; Chordata; Aves; Charadriiformes; Scolopacidae. The record is from RNAcentral.
GGACUUCCGGAUUCCGGCUGGGGCCCGGGCUGUGAGUUGGGGGGGGCCCGGGCUGUGAGUUGGGGGGGUCCCUGAGCUCGGAAACCCCUCCGUACGGCGCCAUGCGGACCCGACCCUCCCCCGCCACCUCACCUUAGUUCUCGUCGCCGGUGCUGCGGGUGCUGCUGCCGGUACCGCGGGUGCUGCUGCGGGUGCCACCUCGCCGACCAACCGACUGUCUGCUCUGACCGCGUUUAAAUCUGCGCGGCCGCGCCCUCUCCGCACCUGAUUGGCUGCUGCGGACUUGCGAUGAUUUGGUACAGUGGCAACUGGGUCAGCUGGACAUUAACAAGACUUUCAUUUAGAAGAGGAGAACCACAAGGAUGGAUCCCCAGCAAGUCUCAGCCUGAAGAAGACCAGUUUUACUGAUGAAAGCAAGGAUAGCUGCAUCAUCAUUUGACAGAAAAAUGUCAAAUCUCAAAAAAAAAAAAAAAAAAAAUAGUUGAUCCAAAGCACUAAGAUUACUGAUGUUUUUAUUGAAAUGAAAGUAGAACACACAAAUAAAUUUACACUGGUAGUACUGACC